Molecule: transfer RNA, 86 nt
Filed under: Rariglobus hedericola
Lineage: Bacteria; Pseudomonadati; Verrucomicrobiota; Opitutia; Opitutales; Opitutaceae
Description: Opitutaceae bacterium 53C-WASEF tRNA-Leu
Rfam family: tRNA
About the family: Transfer RNA (tRNA) molecules are approximately 80 nucleotides in length. Their secondary structure includes four short double-helical elements and three loops (D, anti-codon, and T loops). Further hydrogen bonds mediate the characteristic L-shaped molecular structure. tRNAs have two regions of fundamental functional importance: the anti-codon, which is responsible for specific mRNA codon recognition, and the 3' end, to which the tRNAs corresponding amino acid is attached (by aminoacyl-tRNA synthetases). tRNAs cope with the degeneracy of the genetic code in two manners: having more than one tRNA (with a specific anti-codon) for a particular amino acid; and 'wobble' base-pairing, i.e. permitting non-standard base-pairing at the 3rd anti-codon position.
Source: RNAcentral
GCCCGGGUGGUGGAAUGGUAGACACCAGAGACUUAAAAUCUCUUGAUCGUAAGGUCGUGCGGGUUCGAGUCCCGCCCCGGGCACCA